This 241-nucleotide ribosomal RNA is filed under the name uncultured Staphylococcus sp. RNAcentral describes it as "partial 16S ribosomal RNA". It matches the Rfam family "Bacterial small subunit ribosomal RNA", at positions 99 to 334 of the family's 1533-position model. Lineage: Bacteria; Bacillati; Bacillota; Bacilli; Caryophanales; Staphylococcaceae. The record is from RNAcentral.
CGGACGGGUGAGUAACACGUGGAUAACCUACCUAUAAGACUGGGAUAACUACGGGAAACCGGAGCUAAUACCGGAUAAUAUAUUGAACCGCAUGGUUCAAUAGUGAAAGACGGUUUUGCUGUCACUUAUAGAUGGAUCCGCGCCGCAUUAGCUAGUUGGUAAGGUAACGGAUUACCAAGGCAACGAUGCGUAGCCGACCUGAGAGGGUGAUCGGCCACACUGGAACUGAGACACGGUCCAG